RNAcentral lists this ribosomal RNA (429 nucleotides) under Gemmatimonadota bacterium. RNAcentral's name for it is "Gemmatimonadetes bacterium partial 16S ribosomal RNA". It matches the Rfam family "Bacterial small subunit ribosomal RNA", at positions 355 to 776 of the family's 1533-position model. The record is from RNAcentral. Lineage: Bacteria; Pseudomonadati; Gemmatimonadota.
UAGGGAAUCUUCGGCAAUGGACGAAAGUCUGACCGAGCAACGCCGCGUGAGUGAAGAAGGUCUUCGGAUCGUAAAACUCUGUUGUUAGAGAAGAACAAGGACGUUAGUAACUGAACGUCCCCUGACGGUAUCUAACCAGAAAGCCACGGCUAACUACGUGCCAGCAGCCGCGGUAAUACGUAGGUGGCAAGCGUUGUCCGGAUUUAUUGGGCGUAAAGCGAGCGCAGGCGGUUUCUUAAGUCUGAUGUGAAAGCCCCCGGCUCAACCGGGGAGGGUCAUUGGAAACUGGGAGACUUGAGUGCAGAAGAGGAGAGUGGAAUUCCGUGUGUAGCGGUGAAAUGCGUAGAUAUAUGGAGGAACACCAGUGGCGAAGGCGGCUCUCUGGUCUGUAACUGACGCUGAGGCUCGAAAGCGUGGGGAGCAAACAGG